GGUUUACUUAAAUACGAGUCUUUAACUUUUAAAGUAAUUUUUUUAAAAAAGGCGAAAAGAAAUUAACUGGUUUUUUUAACAUGGCUAUAGAGUAUUUAAGUCAAAACCCGAAUGGAGGUGAACUAUUCCUGCAAAGAUUGAAGUCAGGGGAAACUCUGAUGGAAGAUCGUUGGCGUUAUUGAUGUGCAAAUCAUUUGCUUUAUGUAGGUAUAGGUGCGAAAGACUCAUCGAACCUCCUAAUAGCUGGUUUCCUCCGAAGUUUCCCUCAGGAUAGCUGUAACAUUUUUAAAUAGUUAAGGAUAGUAGAGAAAUGGGUAGAGGUGUAGUGGAACUACGGUUCUGCAACUUAUUUCCAAACUUCGAACGUUCUUGAUAUAAAAAAUUACCUAAUAGGAAUUUUUUAUUUAAAUAUAUGUUAUAAGUGGGCUCUGACCGGUAAGCGGUCAUGGCGAAAAGGGAUGAACCUAACGUAUAAAUAAGGUGCCUAAAUUUACUAACAAUGAAACCAUUAAAAGAGUCCAUGUAUUUAGACAGCGGGUCGGUGCCCCUAAAAGCAGGUAUCCGUUAAUGAGUGUGUUAAAACUCCCCCGCCGAAUACUCUGGCCUUGAAAAUGAAUGGCGCAUAUAGUAAUACCGAUAUUAUACAUUAAAAUUAUUUAAAAAUUUUAAAAGUAGGGGGAUGUGGAUAUCUUAGAGAAUUUUUAAUUGUAAAAUUGAAUUGAAAGAUAUCUAUUACAGAUCCUAAUUGAAGUAGCGAUUAUCCAGGUUAAUCUCCUGGGGGCUGAUGAGGAGUAGGGUUUCUGGGCAACUUAAACGGACCCAGAGUUAGUCGAUCCUAAUCAAAUUAAAUUUAGAGAAAGGGAAUAUGAAUGAUAUUUCAUAACUAAAAUUAAUUUUUAAAUGGUGACAUUUUUUUAAACUUAUUUCCAUCAAUUAAAUACUGUUUAAUAGGGAUUUCUUUCCUAUAUAACUUUUUAAUUAAAACUUAAGAAACAGGUUAACUGGAGAAUAAAGUUUUAAUUUAGUAAAAUUAUAAUUUCGAUUAUAAUAACGGCUAUUUAAAUGAUCCAUGAAACAAUAAGUUUAUUUUUUCAAAAAUUAAUUUAAUCGUACCGAUAACCGCAUCAGGUCUCCAAGGUGAGUAGCUUCUGGCCAUUGAGUAAUGGUAAUUUAGGGAAUUCGGCCAAUUAGAGCUGUAACUUCGGGAUAAAGCUUGGCUCUGAUGGAAAUCAGAACCGAUAGUUACAAGGAGAGCCCAACUGUUUAAUAAAAACUUAGUGUCGCGUCAUACCUUUAUAAGUAAUAAACGUGACAUGAAUCCUGCUCAGUGCUGUGUUUGUUAAACUGGAUUAAUCCAUUUAAGCGCCGGUAAAUAGCUGGGGUAACUAUGACUCUUAUCAAAGUAGCGAAAUACCUCGUCACUUAAUUAGUGACCUGCAUGAACGGAGCUAUGAGGUUCUCACUGUCCCAAAUUAUCACUCAGCGAACCAACAGUUGUGGGAACGGGCACAAAUUAUCCAGCGGGGAAAGAAGACCCUGUAGAGCUUCACUUUGGU
Molecule: ribosomal RNA, 1556 nt
Filed under: human gut metagenome
Description: eukaryotic LSU rRNA
Rfam family: Eukaryotic large subunit ribosomal RNA
Source: RNAcentral